AACGAACGCUGGCGGCAGGCUUAACACAUGCAAGUCGAACGCUCCGCAAGGAGAGUGGCAGACGGGUGAGUAACGCGUGGGAACGUACCUUUCAGUUCGGAAUAACUCAGGGAAACUUGUGCUAAUACCGGAUACGCUCGUAAGAGGAAAGAUUUAUCGCUGAAAGAUCGGCCCGCGUUGGAUUAGGUAGUUGGUGGGGUAAUGGCCUACCAAGGCGACGAUCCAUAGCUGGGCUGAGAGGAUGAUCAGCCACACUGGGACUGAGACACGGCCCAGACUCCUACGGGAGGCAGCAGUGGGGAAUAUUGGACAAUGGGCGAAAGCCUGAUCCAGCCAUGCCGCGUGAGUGAUGAAGGCCCUAGGGUUGUAAAGCUCUUUCACCGAUGAAGAUAAUGACGGUAGUCGGAGAAGAAGCCCCAGCUAACUUCGUGCCAGCAGCCGCCGUAA
This 447-nucleotide ribosomal RNA is filed under the name uncultured bacterium. RNAcentral describes it as "partial 16S ribosomal RNA". It matches the Rfam family "Bacterial small subunit ribosomal RNA", at positions 29 to 523 of the family's 1533-position model. The record is from RNAcentral.